UACGGAGGGUGCAAGCGUUAUCCGGAUUCACUGGGUUUAAAGGGUGCGUAGGUGGGCAGGUAAGUCAGUGGUGAAAUCUCUGGGCUUAACCCAGAAACUGCCGUUGAUACUAGCUGUCUUGAAUAUAGUGGAGGUGAGCGGAAUAUGUCAUGUAGCGGUGAAAUGCUUAGAUAUGACAUAGAACACCCAUUGCGAAGGCAGCUCGCUACACUAUCAUUGACACUGAGGCACGAAAGCGUGGGGAUCAAACAGG
This 253-nucleotide ribosomal RNA is filed under the name uncultured bacterium. Its description in RNAcentral is "partial 16S ribosomal RNA". It matches the Rfam family "Bacterial small subunit ribosomal RNA", at positions 524 to 776 of the family's 1533-position model. The record is from RNAcentral.